This 429-nucleotide ribosomal RNA is filed under the name Acidobacteriota bacterium. RNAcentral's name for it is "Acidobacteria bacterium partial 16S ribosomal RNA". It matches the Rfam family "Bacterial small subunit ribosomal RNA", at positions 355 to 776 of the family's 1533-position model. The record is from RNAcentral. Lineage: Bacteria; Pseudomonadati; Acidobacteriota.
UGGGGAAUUUUGGACAAUGGGGGAAACCCUGAUCCAGCCAUCCCGCGUGUGCGAUGAAGGCCUUCGGGUUGUAAAGCACUUUUGGCAGGAAAGAAACGUCAUGGGUUAAUACCCCGUGAAACUGACGGUACCUGCAGAAUAAGCACCGGCUAACUACGUGCCAGCAGCCGCGGUAAUACGAAGGGUGCAAGCGUUAAUCGGAAUUACUGGGCGUAAAGCGGGCGCAGGCGGUUCGGAAAGAAAGAUGUGAAAUCCCAGAGCUCAACUUUGGAACUGCAUUUUUAACUACCGGGCUAGGGUGUGUCAGAGGGAGGUGGAAUUCCGCGUGUAGCAGUGAAAUGCGUAGAUAUGCGGAGGAACACCGAUGGCGAAGGCAGCCGCCUGGGAUAACACUGACGCUCAUGCACGAAAGCGUGGGGAGCAAACAGG